Molecule: ribosomal RNA, 497 nt
Filed under: uncultured bacterium
Lineage: Bacteria
Description: partial 16S ribosomal RNA
Rfam family: Bacterial small subunit ribosomal RNA
Source: RNAcentral
GAUGAACGCUGGCGGCGUGCCUAAUACAUGCAAGUCGAGCGAACAGACGAGGAGCUUGCUCCUCUGACGUUAGCGGCGGACGGGUGAGUAACACGUGGAUAACCUACCUAUAAGACUGGGAUAACUUCGGGAAACCGGAGCUAAUACCGGAUAAUAUAUUGAACCGCAUGGUUCAAUAGUGAAAGACGGUUUUGCUGUCACUUAUAGAUGGAUCCGCGCCGCAUUAGCUAGUUGGUAAGGUAACGGCUUACCAAGGCGACGAUGCGUAGCCGACCUGAGAGGGUGAUCGGCCACACUGGAACUGAGACACGGUCCAGACUCCUACGGGAGGCAGCAGUAGGGAAUCUUCCGCAAUGGGCGAAAGCCUGACGGAGCAACGCCGCGGGAGUGAUGAAGGUCUUCGGAUCGUAAAACUCUGUUAUUAGGGAAGAACAAAUGUGUAAGUAACUAUGCACGUCUUGACGGUACCUAAUCAGAAAGCCACGGCUAACUACGUG